This 400-nucleotide ribosomal RNA is filed under the name Escherichia coli. Its description in RNAcentral is "bacterial SSU rRNA". It matches the Rfam family "Bacterial small subunit ribosomal RNA", at positions 1 to 397 of the family's 1533-position model. The record is from RNAcentral. Lineage: Bacteria; Pseudomonadati; Pseudomonadota; Gammaproteobacteria; Enterobacterales; Enterobacteriaceae.
AAAUUGAAGAGUUUGAUCAUGGCUCAGAUUGAACGCUGGCGGCAGGCCUAACACAUGCAAGUCGAACGGUAACAGGAAGAAGCUUGCUUCUUUGCUGACGAGUGGCGGACGGGUGAGUAAUGUCUGGGAAACUGCCUGAUGGAGGGGGAUAACUACUGGAAACGGUAGCUAAUACCGCAUAACGUCGCAAGACCAAAGAGGGGGACCCUCGGGCCUCUUGCCAUCGGAUGUGCCCAGAUGGGAUUAGCUAGUAGGUGGGGUAACGGCUCACCUAGGCGACGAUCCCUAGCUGGUCUGAGAGGAUGACCAGCCACACUGGAACUGAGACACGGUCCAGACUCCUACGGGAGGCAGCAGUGGGGAAUAUUGCACAAUGGGCGCAAGCCUGAUGCAGCCAUGC